RNAcentral lists this ribosomal RNA (165 nucleotides) under Leclercia adecarboxylata. RNAcentral's name for it is "partial 23S ribosomal RNA". It matches the Rfam family "Bacterial large subunit ribosomal RNA", at positions 1 to 170 of the family's 2925-position model. Lineage: Bacteria; Pseudomonadati; Pseudomonadota; Gammaproteobacteria; Enterobacterales; Enterobacteriaceae. The record is from RNAcentral.
GAUGAAGCGUAAUAAGGGCAUCUGGUGGAUGCCUUGGCACUGAGAGGCGAUGAAGGACGUGGCACGCUGCGAUAAGCUGGGACGAGAGGCGAGCACUCUUUGACUCCCGGAUCUCCGAAUGGGGAAACCCCACCCUUCUGGGUGAUCUUCAGCUGAAUUCAUAGG